This 230-nucleotide ribosomal RNA is filed under the name uncultured microorganism. Its description in RNAcentral is "partial 16S ribosomal RNA". It matches the Rfam family "Bacterial small subunit ribosomal RNA", at positions 524 to 753 of the family's 1533-position model. The record is from RNAcentral.
UACGUAGGGGGCGAGCGUUGUCCGGAAUUACUGGGCGUAAAGGGUGCGUAGGCGGCAUGGUAUGUCAGAUGUGAAAUACCCAGGCUUAACUUGGGGGGUGCAUUUGAAACUGCUGUGCUUGAGUGCAGGAGAGGAAAGCGGAAUUCCUAGUGUAGCGGUGAAAUGCGUAGAUAUUAGGAGGAACACCAGUGGCGAAGGCGGCUUUCUGGACUGCAACUGACGCUGAGGCA